CCCGCUGAACUUAAGCAUAUCAAUAAGCGGAGGAAAAGAAACUAACAAGGAUUCCCCUAGUAACUGCGAGUGAAGCGGGAAGAGCUCAAAUUUAAAAUCUGGCGCGCCUUUGGCCGUCCGAGUUGUAGUCUGGAGAAGCGUUUUCCGUGUUGGACCGUGUAUAAGUCUCUUGGAACAGGGCGUCAUAGAGGGUGAGAAUCCCGUCUUUGGCACGGACUACCAAUGCUUUGUGAUGCGCUCUCAAAGAGUCGAGUUGUUUGGGAAUGCAGCUCUAAAUGGGUGGUAAAUUCCAUCUAAAGCUAAAUAUUGGCGAGAGACCGAUAGCGAACAAGUACCGUGAGGGAAAGAUGAAAAGAACUUUGGAAAGAGAGUUAAACAGUACGUGAAAUUGUUGAAAGGGAAACGCUUGAAGUCAGUCGCGUUGCCCAGAAAUCAACCUUGCUUUUGCUUGGUGUACUUUCUGGUUAACGGGUCAGCAUCAAUUUUGACCGGUGGAUAAAGGUCAGGGGAAUGUGGCAUCUUCGGAUGUGUUAUAGCCCUUGGUUGCAUACAUCGAUUGGGAUUGAGGAACUCAGCAUGCCGCAAGGCCGGGUUUUUAACCACGUACAUGCUUAGGAUGCUGGCAUAAUGGCUUUAAUCGACCCGUCUUGAAACACGG
RNAcentral lists this ribosomal RNA (658 nucleotides) under uncultured fungus. Its description in RNAcentral is "eukaryotic LSU rRNA". It matches the Rfam family "Eukaryotic large subunit ribosomal RNA", at positions 24 to 664 of the family's 3401-position model. Lineage: Eukaryota; Fungi. The record is from RNAcentral.